RNAcentral lists this transfer RNA (75 nucleotides) under Candidatus Fibrimonadales bacterium. RNAcentral describes it as "tRNA-Arg". It matches the Rfam family "tRNA". Rfam says of the family: Transfer RNA (tRNA) molecules are approximately 80 nucleotides in length. Their secondary structure includes four short double-helical elements and three loops (D, anti-codon, and T loops). Lineage: Bacteria; Pseudomonadati; Fibrobacterota; Fibrobacteria; Candidatus Fibrimonadales. The record is from RNAcentral. RNAcentral also lists the same sequence under 1 other name.
GCAGGCGUGGCCAAAUUGGAUUAAGGCAUCUGGCUACGAACCAGAAGAUUGCAGGUUCGAGUCCUGCCGUCUGCA